UACCCGCAGCACAAGUGGUGGUCAUUAUUAUUGGGCCUAAAGCGUCCGUAGCUGGCUUGUUAGAUGCCUGGGUAAAUCGAUGCGCUCAACGCAUCGAACUCCGGGUAGACCGGCAAACUUGGGACCGGGAGAGGCGUGAGCUACUCGAGGGGUAGGGGUAAAAUCCUGUAAUCCUUCGGGGAGGACCAGUGGCGAAGGCGUCACGCUAGAACGGCUCCGACAGUGAGGGACGAAGCCCUGGGGCGCAAACCGG
RNAcentral lists this ribosomal RNA (253 nucleotides) under uncultured bacterium. Its description in RNAcentral is "partial 16S ribosomal RNA". It matches the Rfam family "Archaeal small subunit ribosomal RNA", at positions 474 to 727 of the family's 1478-position model. The record is from RNAcentral.